This is a long non-coding RNA of Scatophagus argus, 594 nucleotides long. RefSeq lists it as uncharacterized. Lineage: Eukaryota; Metazoa; Chordata; Actinopteri; Scatophagidae. The record is from RefSeq and is a predicted model, not a curated record. The transcript is spliced from 3 exons.
GCGUACGACAGUGGAAGAAUCUGACUAAACGCACGAGCGGGGGCGCGGGGGCGGGAGAGACCAGAAAGUGAGGCGUUCACAUCCAGAAACCGCUAAACGAGUGUCGAGGAAGCAUCCAGGCCACUGCGACAGGCCACUGCGACAGCUCUGUGGAUUUGCAUUGUGCUCUUCAGUUCUCCUCUCCGACCAAUCCAUCAGUCAAUCACCUUUCCUCAGCAUUUACAAGAUCAAACCAGCUCUUAGCAUGGCUGCCACAUAUACUUCCGGGUCAUUUCACUCAGCCUCAUGUCUGUUGCCUGUAUUCUGCUUAUCUGAACAUGUGGAACCAGCCAGUGUUUGACCUUUGGCUCUUUAUGGAUUUGUUUGCCUGUGUUGGACUGCUGCCCUCUGGAUUUGACCCUCGCCUGCUUCACAAGCUUGUGUACCUCCAGCUUUUGAACAUUAAACCACCGAACUGCACUGUCUGUCUCCGUCGUCCACCUUGCUGCUAGCUUGUGCUCACCGCCUGAGACACAAUGCACAUUUUCUCUGUUCUUUAUGAAUGCAAACAAAUAAUAAUUUGCCUUAAUCAUGUAGCGUUUUUUUUUUGUUUGU